CAGAUGUUCUCAGUGAGCUGGGUGAGAAGAAAGCCUGUGGGACUGGAGGACUGCUGGAUCACAAUCACCACAAGUGUUUGAGAUCAUCCUUGCGUACCUGGAGAAGGCAGACUGGAAGGACGCCUUGUCAGUGUCUUGCCACAGCGGAAAGGGGCUGUUGCAUUGGGAGAGGCCGAUGAUUCAUCCAAGCAUGCUCUGUCUGGAAAAGAAGAUGAAGACGAUGACUCGGACAGCAACUAGGCUUCACAAUGAGACAACGGGAAAGAUGGGACACGUAGUCCAUGGGAUGAAGUUGGGACGUGAAGUGGUUCCGCUCCAAAGACCAUCUGCUGCCCUUGUGACACCGGAUUGUCCCAAUGCUCGAUAGUUCCGUAGCUGGCCCAGAGCUGUUUCUGGACAUGAAGGGCAAAGAUAAAUGCGUUUUUUUACCCUGAAGCUUCCGUAUUAAUAGCUUAUUUUUAUAAAAAAUAAACCAAUGGCAAAUGUAGAAUUUAUUUUGUUUCCCAAGGAAGCGAUUGCAUUCCUGGUUUUUUUUUUUUUUAAUUCUUUUAAAUGUGACUUUUUCUACAUACCAAGUUGGGCACGUUACCCAAGAGCAUUAGUAGAUGCUAUUUGAAUGGAUGCCGCCUUCUCUGUUUCUGCCCUAAGUUUUCUUGAAAGCGGUGAAUGGUGACCUCACAACCUGUUCCGCUAGUGCCGUUGCAAAGUGUGCAUGAACACUCGGCACAAACAAGCAGAAAUUCUAAUUUUCCUGAGCUCCUCAACAGACAAUCACCAGCAACCAAGCUGCCUUCAUCAGCUGAGCCACGCUGACUUGUAUACCAUGUGUAGUUAGCUGGGGUCGGUAGAUGAGCUACGAGCGUGGGGUUACGCCAAUGCUUUAGACUUCAGCUUGAGCAGGGUGGAUGUCUGCGCAAGCGCAAAUCACGUGCCUUGGUUGGCACAUGGUGCGCAUGGAGUUGAGGCGUCACGAUCGCUUUUGGUUACUUCUCGGUCCUCUUAGCAAAAUUGAUCACGGAGCCUCAGAACAGUACCAGGAGGCAGGAGCUCUCUCUUUCAGGUCACUUACCGAGUUUCAGUAGGCCUGAUUUAUGACAUGAUCCUGCGUGCAUUGUUUUCUCUGUCAAAUAUUUUUCCUUUACAAAAAGAGGCAUAGUCUCAGUCUUGGCUGGAUGUUCUGGUUCCACUCGUUUCUAACUGACUGAAGUGCUCCUGCAAAGGACAGAAACAGAGACCGUGGAAGCGCGGCUUCGCUUCAGGCUUGUGAGCCUGCCCCAUCCCUUUCUCCUGUAGGGACUAGCCAGGUAACUGCGGCUUCUGAGCAAGUACAGCUUCUGCGCGGGUCAGCUGAAGAGCGUAAGAAGACAUCAUCGUAACUGUUGUUCUGAGCUGAGCUGGAAUCAGGGGGCUGACCCAGGCAUGGCUUGGCUUGUAUCCAUUUUCAUUCCUCCCUCUGUUGUUACGGCUUUCAAACGGAGACUAGAAGUGGGAUCCCCACAGGCCUGUAAAGGGUUGGCAACCAACAGGUUGUGGCUUUCUACAGUCGGUGCGUUUCCGUCUGUUCUUUUUGAAUAGCCAUAGAAAAGCCUGUUCUGUUAGAAGGGUGCCUAGUGGCUUGAGUAAUGUGGGCUUUUUUGUUAGGCUUUAUAGAAAUGUGAUUGCUUUUGUUCCAGAAACGAGAACAGCUUUUUCAUGAGAGCAUUGCUGCUCUUAUUUCUGUAACAAGAAGUGCAUCGUGAGUGUGCCUGCCAUCUAUUACGCUGAUUCUCUGAUGUAAACGUGUCAAGCAAUGCAAUUACAAGGAGUUACAUCGUUACAGCUGAGGUUCUGCGCGUUAAUGCACAUAGCACCUAUUAAACCUGAUCUAAGGCU
This is a long non-coding RNA of Falco peregrinus (peregrine falcon), 1872 nucleotides long. RefSeq lists it as uncharacterized. The transcript is spliced from 2 exons. NCBI's taxonomy places the organism in Eukaryota, Metazoa, Chordata, Aves, Falconiformes, Falconidae. The record is from RefSeq and is a predicted model, not a curated record.